AUACGUAGGUGGCAAGCGUUGUCCGGAAUAACUGGGCGUAAAGCGCAUGUAGACGGCAUGAUAAGCCAAAUGUGAAAUGUAGGGGCUCAACCCCUGCACUGCGAUUGGAACUGUCAAGCUUGAGUGCAGGAGAGGCAAAUGGAAUUCCCAGUGUAGCAGUGAAAUGCGUAGAGAUUGGGAGGAACACCAGUGGCGAAGGCGAUUUGCUGGACUGCAACUGACGUUGAGAUGCGAAAGCUAGGGGAGCAAACGGGAUUAGAUACCCCGGUAGUCCUAGCCGUAAACGAUAGAUACUAGGUGUAGAGGGUAUCGACCCCUUCUGUGCCGCAGCGAACGCAAUAAGUAGCCCGCCUGGGGAGUACGGUCGCAAGACUGAAACUCAAAGGAAUUGACGGGG
Molecule: ribosomal RNA, 397 nt
Filed under: uncultured bacterium
Lineage: Bacteria
Description: partial 16S ribosomal RNA
Rfam family: Bacterial small subunit ribosomal RNA
Source: RNAcentral